CCUACGGGAGGCAGCAGUGGGGGAUAUUGCACAAUGGGGGGAACCCUGAUGCAGCGACGCCGCGUGGGUGAAGGAGUGCUUCGGCAUGUAAAGCCCUAUCGGCAGGGAAGAAGCAAGACGGUACCUGACUAAGAAGCCCCGGCUAACUACGUGCCAGCAGCCGCGGUAAUACGUAGGGGGCGAGCGUUAUCCGGAUUCACUGGGUGUAAAGGGAGCGUAGACGGCGAUGCAAGCCAGGGGUGAAAGCCCGGGGCCCAACACCGGGACUGCCCUUGGAACUGCAUGGCGGGAGUGCGGGAGGGGCAGGCGGAAUUCCAGGUGUAGCGGUGAAAUGCGUAGAUAUCAGGAGGAACACCGACGGCGAAGGCGGCCUGCUGGACCGCGACUGACGUUGAGGCUCGAAAGCGUGGGGAGCGAACAGGAUUAGAUACCCCGGUAGUC
RNAcentral lists this ribosomal RNA (441 nucleotides) under uncultured bacterium. Its description in RNAcentral is "partial 16S ribosomal RNA". It matches the Rfam family "Bacterial small subunit ribosomal RNA", at positions 338 to 795 of the family's 1533-position model. The record is from RNAcentral.